Molecule: ribosomal RNA, 133 nt
Filed under: uncultured bacterium
Lineage: Bacteria
Description: partial 16S ribosomal RNA
Rfam family: Bacterial small subunit ribosomal RNA
Source: RNAcentral
UGAGGAAUUUUGCGCAAUGGGGGUAACCCUGACGCAGCAACGCCGCGUGAGUGAAGAAGGCCUUUGGGUCGUAAAGCUCUGUCAACUGGGAAGAAGUUAUAAUUAUCUAAUAGGUGGUUAUAUUGACGGUACC